UCCCAGUUUCAGACACUGAGCGUAGAUA
RNAcentral lists this non-coding RNA (28 nucleotides) under Bombyx mori (domestic silkworm). The record is from RNAcentral. Lineage: Eukaryota; Metazoa; Arthropoda; Insecta; Lepidoptera; Bombycidae.